UAUGCCUGGACAUGUGUGUGUGUGUUGGG
This 29-nucleotide non-coding RNA is filed under the name Mus musculus (house mouse). Lineage: Eukaryota; Metazoa; Chordata; Mammalia; Rodentia; Muridae. The record is from RNAcentral.